CGCGUGGGAACGUGCCCCAAAGUGAGGAAUAACUGCCCGAAAGGGUAGCUAAUGCCGCAUAUGAUCUUCGGAUUAAAGGAUUUAUCCGCUUUGGGAGCGGCCCGCGUCGGAUUAGGUAGUUGGUGAGGUAAAGGCUCACCAAGCCGACGAUCCGUAGCUGGUCUGAGAGGAUGACCAGCCAGACUGGAACUGAGACACGGUCCAGACUCCUACGGGAGGCAGCAGUGAGGAAUCUUCCACAAUGGGCGAAAGCCUGAUGGAGCAACGCCGCGUGCAGGAUGAAGGCCUUCGGGUCGUAAACUGCUUUUAUGAGCGAAGAAUAUGACGGUAACUCAUGAAUAAGGGUCGGCUAACUACGUG
Molecule: ribosomal RNA, 360 nt
Filed under: uncultured bacterium
Lineage: Bacteria
Description: bacterial SSU rRNA
Rfam family: Bacterial small subunit ribosomal RNA
Source: RNAcentral